CCCGGUCUCUCGCAAAUGCUCGCAUAGAAUCGGAGUUACAGCUGGAUGUGGAAAAAAUAACUGAGUUGUUUGGUGGUGCUAUAACGCGGAGCUACAACAGUGGGCAGCUAUCCACCGGUGUAUGACAGAAAGGACAUGCCGCGACCGCCGAUCGACCGGUGUUUGCUAACGCGGAGGUCAAUCGUGGAUCAGGGAAAGCGAAGGCAGGGCGUGAGGUCAAUCGUGGAUCAGGGAAAGCGAAGGCAGGAGCGUGAGGUGAACUGAAUUUCAGGUAAGAAGUUAUGACCUGCACUCUAUUUGGGUCAGAUAUAAACCGAGUUUAGGUGUAGUUUAUUUAGCAGCAGUUCUCUUAUGUGUUGCUGAUAGCCGGCUAGCUAGCUAGCGCCGCUAGCAUAGUUAGCUCGCGCCGCUAGCAACCCUUCGUGAAAAAGCAC
Oreochromis aureus is the source of this 434-nucleotide long non-coding RNA. The record is from Ensembl. Lineage: Eukaryota; Metazoa; Chordata; Actinopteri; Cichliformes; Cichlidae.